Molecule: small nuclear RNA, 23 nt
Filed under: Arabidopsis thaliana (thale cress)
Lineage: Eukaryota; Viridiplantae; Streptophyta; Magnoliopsida; Brassicales; Brassicaceae
Description: snRNA_00641
Source: RNAcentral
UUACAUAGUGUCUGAUUGGUAAC